RNAcentral lists this small RNA (179 nucleotides) under Lactobacillus gallinarum. RNAcentral's name for it is "Listeria sRNA rli28". It matches the Rfam family "Listeria sRNA rli28", at positions 11 to 177 of the family's 186-position model. Lineage: Bacteria; Bacillati; Bacillota; Bacilli; Lactobacillales; Lactobacillaceae. The record is from RNAcentral.
UAGUAUAAUUUUAGCCGUAGAAAAGCUGAAGUGGUGGCUAUCCUGGAAGGGGAUGGUGCUUAUGAGUAAAUUUUAUUAACUCGUAUUCGCAUAUCCUGAUAGAAAGGAGAAGCCUUCGUGUCUGUUGCAGAUGCGUUGCAACUAAUGUUAGAAUUCGGCACAUUUGUCGUUACUCUAAU